CGUGAGUGAUGAAGGCUUUCGGGUCGUAAAGCUCUGUCAAGUGGGAAGAACUCAUAUGAUGUUAAUAUCGUCAUAUGCUGACGGUACCACUGAAGGAAGCACCGGCUAACUCCGUGCCAGCAGCCGCGGUAAUACGGGGGGUGCGAGCGUUAUUCGGAAUUACUGGGCGUAAAGAGCGCGUAGGCGGUCUUUUAAGUCAGGUGUGAAAGCCCGGGGCUCAACCCCGGAAGUGCACUUGAAACUAAGAGACUUGAGUAUGGGAGAGGGAAGUGGAAUUCCUGGUGUAGCGGUGAAAUGCGUAGAUAUCAGGAGGAACAUCAGUGGCGAAGGCGACUUCCUGGACCAAUACUGACGCUGAGGCGCGAAGGCGUGGGGAGCAAACAGGAUUAGAUACCCUGGUAGUCCACGCAGUAAACGGUGAACACUAGGUGUAGCGGGUAUUGACCCCUGCUGUGCCGCAGCAAACGCAUUAA
Molecule: ribosomal RNA, 473 nt
Filed under: uncultured delta proteobacterium
Lineage: Bacteria; Deltaproteobacteria
Description: bacterial SSU rRNA
Rfam family: Bacterial small subunit ribosomal RNA
Source: RNAcentral